CAAUGAUGCUGGAAAUGUUAUAACAGAAUGGUACAGGAGAGAGUGGCCACUUAAAACAACGAGUCCUGGAGAUGAGUGUGAGGGUGUGGGGGAAAGUGACAAGAACUGAAGGAGAAGUAACAGAACGGUCUCAAGGUCACCAUGAUAGGAAACGGUGUGUGUGUGGGGGUGUCAGAGUGAAGAAAGGCCAGCUCCCAUGAGGUCUUUGUAAGAAGCAGGGAGUUUGGUUUCCAUCCUAAAUACCUAGGAAGUCACUAGCAGAUUAUAAACGGAUGAGUGAAGUAAUGUGACUGUGGUUUGCGUCGAGACAGGGUCUCAUGUAGCUCAGGCUGUCCUCAGACUUGCCAUAUGGCUGAGUCUGGACUUGAUUCUCCUCCUUUCAGUUCACAUACACUGAGAUUCCAGGCUCACCCACGUCAUCACCCCCAGCUUAACGGUUGUUAUGGAAACCCCCUAGAUGCUCCAUGGAGAACAAUUAGGAAGAAAGCUUUUGAGCCAGCCUGGGAGAGGGAAUGGAGAGUCUGGAAAGUUGGCCACAGAGGGGAAGGUGGUUUGGCUUUAUGACCGUGUAUAAUAUAGCCCAGACUGGGUGCCAUCUUAGUCCACAAGGAUGGGUCAUGUCCUCCUUCUCCCCCUUUCCUUCAGGAAGACAUCUCUAGGAGAAGACUUCUAAACAGGAGAAACACACACAGCUUCCCAGGAUUCUGAACAUUUCCAAGAGUCAUAUCCCCCUGUGGAAGCUAACGUUUGUUGUGGGUUUGUUUUGUCUUGUCUUCUGAGACAGGGUUCUCUGUGUAGCCCUGGCUGUCCUGGAACUCACUCUGUGAGAUCAGGCUGACCUCGAACUCACAGAGUUGCACAGAAUGUUGGAAUAAAAGGUAUGCACCACCCCCUGUCCAGCUGUCGUGGGGUUUAUAUUGUUGGUUGAUUUGGUUUUCUGAGACAGGGUUUCACCGUGUAGUCUCAGGUGGCCUAGAACUAUGUAGACUAGACUGGCCUUGAACUCACUGCUACCCACUUGCCUCUGAGUGCUGGGACUAGAGGUAAGCACCACCAUACUCAGACACAGUAGGAGCUAACUUGCAGCAGGCAUCCCUGGGGCAGGCUGGAAGGCAAGGCGCCUGGAUGUGGGACUGACGGAAUGUCAUUUGCCUCAUGUUUCAGCAAGUUUUCCGCUCAACACAUCCUUCUCUGGUCUCCUCUCACCUUUGGGAAGUCAAAGCCACGUGGCUUCUAGACACAUUUCAGCUCUUCAGGGCCUGGCCUUCUGGUUAACUAAAUAGUCCUUGGGAUCAACGAACGGGUCUGGCUUUUCAAUUCCUGGCUCUGCUUUUUAUCAGCUGUGACCUUGGACAGGUUAGUUCCUUCCUGAGCAUCUCCUGCUCCUGACCACUGACAGCAGGGUCAGUUACAAUCUGGAAGACUGUAACUUGUACCUCGAGGAGCCAUUUUAAGGUUAAGAAAAUGUACCUAUGAAGACGCUUAAACAAGACUCACCUCAUGUCAACAGCCAACAAAUAACAGAACACAGAUUCAAUCCCAACAUUUUAUUAUUUACUUACCUUCCGACUUCAUCUCUUGCUACUUCCCAGAUGCAGAGACCUAGGUUUAAAGGGCUUGCCGAUUUCCACACCACACCCCACGUGGCCCCCAGGAGGGCCUCUUGGGCCUUUUCCUAUGCCUUUUCAGCAUGUGGCCCACAAUAAUCUUAGGACUUGGUGACCCAUGGGACCAACAUGCACCUAGUGUUGUCUUUCAUACCACGGAGUUGCUUCUGCCAGGGAGCCUGCCUGGAAGUCCCCGUUGGUGUCCCUCGUCCCCUCCGGGUCUCCAUUCUGACGACCUAGCACAUGGCAGGUGCUCAUGAAGACUCUGCAGCUCUACGGGUGUGUACACACAUAUAUACAUGCACCCUAAAGCAGCCUCAUUGAGAGUACAGGAUAGCUUUAAAACCUGCAUUGCCAAGGAUAACCUUGGGCUCCUGGUCCUCCCUGUUAGGUCUCUAACGGGGGACAAGUGGCUGAGGUCCCUAUUUAGCUCUUGCCUACAUGAUCCAGCCAUUUUGGCUACCCCAGUCCUUUUUCCCUUUUGGUCUCUUGCUAUACUGGCCUCCUGGCUCUCUCGAGUCUGGCUAUGCCUACCCUUUUAUCUACAAUAAAGCUUUUCCUCCAGCAUUCCUCCGAACCACCGCAUCCUCCUUUUUACUUUUUAAAAUGCAUGUCUGGUUUCACCUCCCAAAUGCUGGGUUUGCUGAUCAGGCCACAACACUUGGUCAAGGCUCAGAUACUCGCUCCCAGGCUGGGGGGAGCCUGAGACCCAAACACCUUCCAACCCACAGCUCCCGCCGGAGCUCAGCCAAGCCAGAGUCAAAGCCUGGGUGUUUCUGCUCAAUGUAUGAAACCAGGAAACUGGAAAAGAAAAAAGGCUAAACCAGGAAGCUGGGGUUGUCUUGGGCUUCUGGGCAAAUAUAAUCUUUACCUGAACUUGCUCACUUGAGGCAAUGGAGACAAUCUUAUUACCUCAGAAACGUGAACUCCCGUGACCCAGUGUUCCAGGAGCCUGGCCGGCAACUGAGUAAGUGGACAUGAACAGCCGUCGGCAACAGGCCCGGGAGAGUUGAG
This 2621-nucleotide long non-coding RNA is filed under the name Mus musculus (house mouse). RNAcentral's name for it is "predicted gene, 36602". Lineage: Eukaryota; Metazoa; Chordata; Mammalia; Rodentia; Muridae. The record is from RNAcentral.